This 474-nucleotide ribosomal RNA is filed under the name Triticum aestivum (bread wheat). RNAcentral describes it as "partial small subunit ribosomal RNA". The record is from RNAcentral. Lineage: Eukaryota; Viridiplantae; Streptophyta; Magnoliopsida; Poales; Poaceae.
AUGGUGGUCCUCGACACGUGGCAGUACGGGUGGCACCGCCUGAUGCACAGCAGCGGCCUGCUGUACCGCCAUGUCCACUCCUGGCACCACCGGCUGGUGGCGCCGUACGCCUACGGCGCCCAGUACAACCACCCGCUGGAGGGCCUCGUACUGGACACGGCCGGCGGCGCGCUGGCGCUGGCCGUGACGGGGAUGGCGCCCCUGACGGCCGCCGCCUUCUUCUCGUUCGCGACUCUCAAGGCCGUCGACGACCACUCCGGCGUGCUUGUCCCGGGCAACCCGCUGCAUCUCCUGUUCCGCAACAACACGGCCUACCACGACGUCCACCACCAGAUUCGUGGUGGCCGCUGCAACUACGCGCAGCUGUUCUUCGUGGCGUGGGACAAGCUGAUGGGCACGUACGUCCCUUACGAGGUCGUCAGAGCUCCGCGCGGCGGACUGGAGGCCGUGCCGUUGAAGAAGAAGAAGACCUGA